Long non-coding RNA from Egretta garzetta (little egret), 955 nucleotides. RefSeq lists it as uncharacterized. The transcript has 3 exons. Lineage: Eukaryota; Metazoa; Chordata; Aves; Pelecaniformes; Ardeidae. The record is from RefSeq and is a predicted model, not a curated record.
AGGUGUUCAGAUCAUUCAUACCUCCAGUUUCAGAAUCUUCCAGUGAUAUCUGUGGCUUACCUCAGACUAGUGCUUCUGUCUAUGAUGAAAUAGUUAUCUGCCAGUUGGAAGGAGGUACUCAAAUACUCUGUAUAAACAGUUGUGACACACAAGAACUAAAACCAGUUCAUCUAAUUCCCGAGUAUCAUGACCAACAUAAUUAUCUUCAAUCGGGUACAAAAAAAAUGAAUAUUAUCUCUGUCAAAUAGUAUGUCAUAGAUUAUUAAUGUGCGACUGCAUGUGUUUAUGUUCUUAAGCAGCAACAGUGGGAGAUAAGACAAAGCUAAUGUAGCUAUCACCAGUUAUUAUUUUACUUUAUUUUAUAACUGAAACAUUUCUAGGCGCUUCAGUGUAAUAGGAAUGAUGUACUGGAUAUGUUGAAUUCAUUGAAAGUUUUUAAUCUAGAUUAUUUUCCAUAUAAAGCACAUAUAGCAUGAGCACCUGCAUACCUUUGCAUUUACCCUAGCUUGCCACUGAGCGUCACUGUUUCUCAAUAAAUGAAGAGCACCGUUGAGCGCUAUGGGUGUACUUUGGUCUUGGGAUUCAGAAUGUCUCAUUUACAUAAUUAUGUGAACUUGAAGUGCCAUCAGUUUCUAAAGAUUUCUGAGGUCCUAAAGUUAAUGCUGUUUAGAUGGAGUAACACAUUUUCAUCAGAGCAGCAAUCAUGUAUUUGAGCGUAGUUUAGUUUUAAUUUAAAUAAAUAUUUCUUUACCUAAAUAUAGCUUCCUCAAAAACAUUAUUAACAAGGUUUAUUUCUUUCUUUAUUAUUAUUAUUUUAUUACAGUGGUGCAUUUUGAUGGCAAUACGAAAACAAAGCCUUUCAAUAUUAGGCACUAUACAAGCGCAGAUUUUGCUCUCAGUAUUAAUAGGUGCUGAGUGUGAACAUCUCUCAGUAAAUGCUCCAGGUAUGGAGCCU